Osmerus eperlanus (European smelt) is the source of this 1037-nucleotide long non-coding RNA. RefSeq lists it as uncharacterized. The record is from RefSeq and is a predicted model, not a curated record. Lineage: Eukaryota; Metazoa; Chordata; Actinopteri; Osmeriformes; Osmeridae. The transcript has 4 exons.
CUGGACCCCUUCUGUUACCAUGUCAACAGCGUCGUGCAUCGCGUUUCACGGAUAAACGCUUAGAAAGUAUAUGCAUGGACACAGUCGAUGUGAGUUAAUGUUUCAACAUUUUAAUUUCCCCAUCUCUUGAGGUUCCUGUGUUCGCGAGGGCUUCACAUGUAUUCUUCCCGUUUCCCCAACGGAUUGUUGAGGCCGUCCCUGCCUAUCUGCGGCCCGUAAGAGGAUUUGAUAUGAAGACAGAGCGGUCGUAAUCCCCAAGUAAACUGUCUUAGAGGAAUCAUUAUAGAAACAAUUUUCCCUUAAUCUUUUUCAAAUCUACUUUUAUUCAAAUCAAAUUACGCACACUGGGAUUACAGACCACAGCGCGACCUGCUUCGACCUAUUUGACUCUUUGAGUGCUGAGAACAAUAGCCUACAGUGCACGUAGGUCUACCAGGACAUCUAGCACAGCUGAGCCGGUCCGCUGGAAUGACGCACAACACAGAAAAAUAGAACUAUAGUCUUCUGAAUGAUGUAAAAUAAAAAAUAAAGGAAUGGAUUUUCCAACCGCCGUCAGACUGCGUUAAGAUUGUUGUUGCUUUUUGAAAUAGCGAACACUAGGGGUUGAACUCAAACUCGCUGUAGAGGUAGGCUAGUCUACCGCUCACCGCCUUGUCUCCCUCCCUGCCUUACUCGAAACAGUGCGAGCGUCACAACGCUACAGUUUUACGACUAACGGGAACGGUGGUUGUCUUCGGAGCAUAGAUUUUCUCUUUGUCCCGUGGAGGAAUCAUCGAAGAUUACGUCCACUACCGGGGCGUCUGGCGGAGCAUUACCCAGGAUUGAGACAAGACCAGAACAUUGACGGAUAACAUAACAAAGUUCUCGGAACAUUGACAUUCAGAGAAAUGUCCUGCAUGAAGCAAACAGCCCAGGAGCAGGUCAUGUGACUUGGUCUCAGCUCCUCAGAGGAAGCAUGGCUCCUGAGGACCUGGAAGGAUCUCCAGAAUCCAGCUGAACACUCAACCACCAGAUCCACCAGAACAGUAACCAGGCAG